This 497-nucleotide ribosomal RNA is filed under the name uncultured bacterium. RNAcentral's name for it is "bacterial SSU rRNA". It matches the Rfam family "Bacterial small subunit ribosomal RNA", at positions 8 to 507 of the family's 1533-position model. The record is from RNAcentral.
AGAGUUUGAUCAUGGCUCAGGAUGAACGCUGGCGGCAUGCCUAAUACAUGCAAGUCGAACGGAAUCUUAUAUGUUCCUCGUUUCGGAUUUAGUUCCGAGUUGGGGAACAAUAAGAUUUAGUGGCGACGGGUGAGUAACACGUUGGUACCUACCCUCUAGUGGGGAAUAACUUCGAGAAAUCGAGGCUAAUACCGCAUAAUAUCUACGGAUUAAAGCAUUUAUGCGCUAGAGGAGGGGCCUGCGUCUGAUUAGCUUGUUGGUGAGGUAAAAGCUCACCAAGGCGACGAUCAGUAGCUGGAUCGAGAGGUUGACCAGCCACACUGGGACUGAGAUACGGCCCAGACUCCUACGGGAGGCAGCAGUGAGGAAUCUUCCACAAUGGGCGAAAGCCUGAUGGAGCAAUGCCGCGUGCAGGAUGACGGCCUUCGGGUUGUAAACUGCUUUUAUAUGGGAAGAUUAUGACGGUACCAUAUGAAUAAGGACCGGCUAACUACGUG